GAGUUUGAUCGUGGCUCAGGAUGAACGCUAGCGACAGGCUUAACACAUGCAAGUCGAGGGGCAGCGGGGGAGUAAGCUUGCUUAUUCCUGCCGGCGACCGGCGCACGGGUGAGUAACACGUAUGCAACCUGCCCUUGGCAGGGGGAUAACCCGGAGAAAUCCGGACUAAUACCGCGUAACACCCCUGGGGGACAUCCCCCGGGGGUCAAAGGAAGCAAUUCCGGCCAAGGAUGGGCAUGCGUCGCAUUAGGCAGUUGGCGGUGUAACGGACCACCAAACCGACGAUGCGUAGGGGUUCUGAGAGGAACGGCCCCCCACACUGGUACUGAGACACGGACCAGACUCCUACGGGA
Molecule: ribosomal RNA, 353 nt
Filed under: uncultured bacterium
Lineage: Bacteria
Description: bacterial SSU rRNA
Rfam family: Bacterial small subunit ribosomal RNA
Source: RNAcentral